UGAGAGAGAGCGAUGCAUAUUAGGGUUGGGCGGUAUCCAAAUUUUGAUACCGUCAAACCUCCUCCCUAUUUUACCGCGGUAUAUGGUAUUACCGUGACUAAUUAAAAAUUAUGACGUAAGGCUCAGACGGCGUCACCAAACUGUUGGCUUAUGUACCGUUCAGAAACUGAAUACCAAACACUAAUACUGAAACAAUAAUAACAUAACAACAACUUAGAAAAAAACUACUUUCUCCUCCACACUGUAACGUGAUGACAACCACACAUAAUUACAUAAAUUAUAUUUAAUAUUUAA
Molecule: long non-coding RNA, 294 nt
Organism: Sander lucioperca (pikeperch)
Lineage: Eukaryota; Metazoa; Chordata; Actinopteri; Perciformes; Percidae
Exons: 3
Source: RefSeq, a predicted model, not a curated record